Molecule: long non-coding RNA, 1581 nt
Filed under: Gadus morhua (Atlantic cod)
Lineage: Eukaryota; Metazoa; Chordata; Actinopteri; Gadiformes; Gadidae
Description: lncRNA (ENSGMOG00000026531.1)
Source: RNAcentral
AUGUUAAAAAACACACCUGUGGAAGAGAUCAUGGCUGGUAAUUUCACCAGAAGCCUCACCAAGGAUGUCUUAAAGACAAUUUCAUCUGAGGUUAAAAAGAGUGCAAGGCUCCAUGAUGAUGUAAUGCUUGAACUCAUGCUUACACAAAAGGUCAUUAAAGAGAGCAGCAGUCAUGCAUCCUCAAAAGGCUAUCUUCAGCGCCUGCAAAUUGAUCCUUUUGCUGUACAUUUACAAACUGAUACUGGAAUCAAUAUUUUAGCUCAACAUUUAAAACAAACACCAACAGCCCUCUACCUUGAUGCUACAGGUGGUGUGGUGCAGAAAAUUCCUGACCAAAACAAAAGGGUACUGUAUUAUGCUCUAGUUUUGCCAGGCAUGGGCAAGGAUAAGCCUCCUUUGCCCGUCACAGAACUCAUAACCAACAGCCAUUCCAUUCCAUCCAUUUCCUAUUGGCUAAUGGAAUUCCAGAGGAAGUUGUCACAUACAACAAAAAGACGAAUAACACAGGUUGAGACUGAUUAUAGUUGGGCUCUAAUUAACAGCGUGCUUCUGUCCUUCAACAAGGAGAAUAUUUCAAUGUACCUCAUCAGAGCAUUUGGAAUAGUGUCUGGACAAAGUGAACAGAUUCCCAAGUUCACUGUGCUGCAUCUGUGCUCUGCACAUAUCAUGAAGGCUGUGUCACAAGCAUUUGGCAGGAAAACAGAAGACAGAGGCAUACAAGAAUAUGCAACAUUCAGUUUUGCUUACCUCCUGAACUGCACAAGUAUGCAGGUGGCCCAUGAGGUUUUUUAUCAUAUGUGUGUGCUUUUUGAUGCAGAGGAGUACACUCAUUUGGUGAAACAGAGCAAAACAUACCUCGGCAAGUGUGUUUUGAAAAUCCAGGACAUAAAGCUGGAAGAAAGUGGACAUGUGAUGGGAGAGGAGGAAAGCAACACUGAGAAAUCUGCUAACAGUGCUGUUGGAAAGUCACCUUUUACGCAUGCUUUUCAAGCCAGGCGUGACCAAGCACAGUGUGACAUCCUAACAGAAGAUCCUGUUGGCAUUGGCAUAAACAACCAUUACCUCUGUCCUGGUGUCAUCAAUGUGCUGUUUAAAAACUAUAUGGGAAUUUUCCCAUUGUGGGGUGGUUUGUUGCUUGGGGAUCUGUCACGGCAUGGAAAAUGCACAACCAUCGAAACAAAUGGAAGAGAAAAAACCAGGGAUACCAACUGCCAUGUUGAACUCUGGUUUGGUUUGGUCAAACACUCUAUCUUGUUAAAAAAAAAGUACCUGAGACCUGCAGAGUUCAUAUCCAAAAUGUUUGCCUCAAUGCAGGGAAGAUAUGUAGAGCACGUUGAGCAACAUAAUCUGCCAAUUCAGAUUCUGGAUAAAACAGUCACAAGUUCUCGCAGGCCAGAUGAUGACCAUGAAGAACAGUGGAAGAAGCGGGACAGCUCUACAGGUCAGUCCAAGUCCAAGUCCAAGUACUUCAAUCCACCAGAAAAACUACCAAACCCCAGGAGCCUACAUGCCAAAGAAGUGAAGAAAAGAAAAGAGGCUCAGGAUCAACAAGUUAAAGAUGCACAGGUAAAUAUUGUUUAA